AGCCUCGAGGUGUAAUACAUAUAAGAUUGCAAAUCUUAAGUGGCAGAGUAACGUCUGCCGGGGCUU
RNAcentral lists this transfer RNA (66 nucleotides) under Bostrychus sinensis (four-eyed sleeper). Its description in RNAcentral is "tRNA-Cys". Lineage: Eukaryota; Metazoa; Chordata; Actinopteri; Gobiiformes; Eleotridae. The record is from RNAcentral. RNAcentral also lists the same sequence under 1 other name.